Molecule: non-coding RNA, 2067 nt
Organism: Paramisgurnus dabryanus
Lineage: Eukaryota; Metazoa; Chordata; Actinopteri; Cypriniformes; Cobitidae
Source: RefSeq, a predicted model, not a curated record
UCCCAAACAGUUGUACUAGCUCAUAACUAAUAAGGUCAUAACAGUCAAAUGUCGUUAUGCAGUUGACCAAACUAUAAAGUGUUGAGCUCUGUUGAGAUUUAUGGCACUUUAGUUGAAUAGGGCUCAAUAUUUUAUAGCUAAUUUCUGUGAAACGCUCAAAAAGUUUAAGAACCAUACAGUAGUGUCAUGACGUUAUCGACGUCAUGACGUUAUGGUGGGUGGGACUUAUCUCUCCCUCAGGAAUGUGGAGUACGCCAUCUUGAAUUUUACCUGAUGCGGGAAGUUUUGGCCAGCACGUGUGGAUAUGGAACACAGUUUAAUUUGUUUUAAUUUGUUUGGAAUGCGCAAUUUUAUCCCCCGCUUCAAACCACAACCUCCUCAGUUAUUUUCAUUAGUCUUAUUGCCCUCGUCUUCUCAAGCGCCGUCUUAUCAUCAGCCCAGAUUUGGUAUAUGUGUGUGUCUUUGAGAUCAUCUCGAAAACAUUUUAACAGUUCAGAUAUCUGAGUACAAAGAAUGCUACAGAGAGUCAGCGUAUCACCAUCAGACCUAUAGGAACAAAGUGAUGAAAAGGAUGAAAAUGAGACAAGCCCUUGUCCUUUGUGCACGACCUGUGUACCUGCGUGAAGAUGUCUUCAAGUUCUUCAGGAACUGCAAUUUACCAGAUGGUCCAGACCUCACUGACACUCCGGUGGCUCUCUUGACAGUCUUCAUGUAUGACCCUACUGAUGGUGCCCUCUUCAGCCCUGAGAGGAUCAGUAUUGUCGUGGAGGAUGAAAUACUUGUGAGUGGUCCCAUAAAUCUGGUUGACUCAUUUCUCCUGCUCUUUGGGUACAUCUAUGCAAUAGACUUUCAGUACCCAAAGAAUCAAAAGCUUGACACAUUGACAUUUAUCCCAAAAGUUGCCAUGCGUCUUGAGGACAACAAACCACUGAAAGGGCGUCUAUUGAUGCUGAAGAAUGAUUUGUUAAAUGAGUGGAGAAUGGAUUAUUUGUUUAGAUUUUUAGGAUAUUUAGGUAUUUAGUGUUUUUCCCCCCUCUUUAUAAAUGUAACCCUUUGCCUCUUUUACCUCAGAUUUAAGACGUGACACUGUUUGCCUGUUCUACCUCAGAUGUAAUACAUUGAUUGUUAAAUAUGAAAAACAUUGACAUUCAAUUAAUGCACUAUACAUGUUUAAUGUUUUGUUGCCUUAGGGGUUGUGUACACCAAAACUUUUACGCCCGCGGCCGGCGCAUGUUUUCAAUUGUUUCCAAUGGAAGCUCGGCGUUUUUCAAAUAAGCCAGCAGCUAGCGGGUUUUUUCCGCGCUGAAAACCGGCGCUCGGCGGUUUUUCCGCGCUCAGCGCUGAGCGUCGAGAGUUGAAAGAGAUUCAACUUUGGGAGAAAAGCUCCGCUCGUCAAUGUCAGUUCUCACACGGCUGCCCAAUCACAGUGGAGGAGGGGCGGGACAUUACCACAGCAACCAACCGGCUCGCAGCUGAAGUAUCACAGCUAUCAAAGCGCUCUUCUGAAGAAAGCUGGUACUCAGCUGAAAAACAGCUGGCAUUUGGCGUCCUCAAGGCGUUUUCAGCCGCGUUUAAAAGUUUUGGUGUGUCCAGCCCCUUAUGUCUACCUUGAUGUUGCCAGUUGAAGUAUGGCACAGUAGAAACCAGCACUUUAUUCAAAUGUUUAAUAAAAAAAAGUGAUUUGCAGCCUUCAAGGUACAGUAGUGGCAAAAUGUUUUUAAAUAGUGUUAAAUGACUCCACAUUCUAAUUGUUGUCAUUGCUGUUGAGGAUAGAUUAUACUUAGAAUCUUGUUAAAUUAUAACAAAUCCUUUGUGAGUUUUAAUCCUAAUUUUUACUGAAUAAUAUGAAAUAUUAUUAGACCCAAAAUACUGAAUCUACCCUCUGAAGCAAUGGCCACUUUCAGAAUAUGGAAAUAAUAACACAGUGUACUUUAUAAAAACAAAGUAUGUUUUAGAGUCGUUUUCUUUUGUUUUAGUUUAUCACAAGCACUUUGUUUUGACAGAUCUGUAUUAAUUUGUGCCUUUUAAAAGCACAUUGUGUUUAAUAAAAAAGUUGUUAAAUUGUCA